GUGAAUCAUCGAAUUUUUGAACGCAAAUUGCACUUUCUGGGAUUCCGGAAAGUAUGCCUGUUUGAGUGUCAGUUAAAUAAGAAUCGUUGUUGUUUCUGCUUUUCGUGGUGACUCGUCGGAAUUGAUUUGUCUUACCUUCGGUUAAGUGACUUAAAAUUUUUCAUGAUUUUCGAACGUAUUUAAAUUUCUUACUUACUUUUGAGAUAUCGAAUACUUUAUUAGGUUCGGUCAUCCUCAUGAUUCGCACCUAUAAUUUUUCAUUAAUUUACCUCAAAUCAGUUAAAAAUACCCUCGGAACUUA
This 301-nucleotide unclassified non-coding RNA is filed under the name Glomus sp. RNAcentral's name for it is "partial contains 5.8S ribosomal RNA, internal transcribed spacer 2, and large subunit ribosomal RNA". The stretch from base 1 to 71 matches the Rfam family "5.8S ribosomal RNA", at positions 84 to 154 of the family's 154-position model. Lineage: Eukaryota; Fungi; Glomeromycota; Glomeromycetes; Glomerales; Glomeraceae. The record is from RNAcentral.